UACGUAGGGGGCAAGCGUUGUCCGGAUUUAUUGGGCGUAAAGAGCUCGUAGGCGGCCUGUCGCGUCGGCUGUGAAAACCCGAGGCUCAACCUCGGGCCUGCAGUCGAUACGGGCAGGCUAGAGUUCGGUAGGGGAGACUGGAAUUCCUGGUGUAGCGGUGAAAUGCGCAGAUAUCAGGAGGAACACCGGUGGCGAAGGCGGGUCUCUGGGCCGAAACUGGACGCUGGAGGAGCGAAAGCGUGGGGAGCGAACAGGA
Molecule: ribosomal RNA, 256 nt
Filed under: uncultured bacterium
Lineage: Bacteria
Description: partial 16S ribosomal RNA
Rfam family: Bacterial small subunit ribosomal RNA
Source: RNAcentral